CCUACGGUGGGCAGCAGUGAGGAAUAUUGGUCAAUGGGAGGAAUCCUGAACCAGCCAUGCCGCGUGCAGGACGACGGCUCUACGAGUUGUAAACUGCUUUUGUACCGGGGUAAAAUGCUCUACGAGUAGGGUUUUGAAAGUACGGUACGAAUAAGGAUCGGCUAACUACGUACCAGCAGCCGCGGUAAUACGGAGGAUCCGAGCGUUAUCCGGAUUCAUUGGGUUUAAAGGGUGCGUAGGUUGUUUUAUAAGUUAGCGGUGAAAUACAGAUGCGCAACAGCGGGGCUGCCGCUGAAACUGUGAGACUAGAGAACGGAUGAGGCAGGCGGAAUGUGUAGUGUAGCGGUGAAAUGCAUAGAUAUUACAAAGAACACCGAUUGCGAAGGCAGCUUGCUAGGCCGGAUCUGACACUGAUGCACGAAAGCGUGGGGAUCGAACAGGAUUAGAUACCCGAGUAGUC
This 460-nucleotide ribosomal RNA is filed under the name uncultured bacterium. RNAcentral's name for it is "partial 16S ribosomal RNA". It matches the Rfam family "Bacterial small subunit ribosomal RNA", at positions 338 to 795 of the family's 1533-position model. The record is from RNAcentral.